UACGUAGGGGGCGAGCGUUGUCCGGAAUCAUUGGGCGUAAAGCGCGUGUAGGCGGCCCGGAAAGUCUGGUGUGAAAUCUUGGGGCUCAACCCCAAGCGGUCACUGGAUACUGUCGGGCUUGAGUACGGAAGAGGAGAGUGGAAUUCCUGGUGUAGCGGUGGAAUGCGCAGAUAUCAGGAAGAACACCCGUGGCGAAGGCGGCUCUCUGGGACGGUACUGACGCUGAGACGCGAAAGCGUGGGGAGCGAACAGG
This 253-nucleotide ribosomal RNA is filed under the name uncultured bacterium. RNAcentral's name for it is "partial 16S ribosomal RNA". It matches the Rfam family "Bacterial small subunit ribosomal RNA", at positions 524 to 776 of the family's 1533-position model. The record is from RNAcentral.